Molecule: ribosomal RNA, 357 nt
Filed under: Vibrio parahaemolyticus
Lineage: Bacteria; Pseudomonadati; Pseudomonadota; Gammaproteobacteria; Vibrionales; Vibrionaceae
Description: bacterial SSU rRNA
Rfam family: Bacterial small subunit ribosomal RNA
Source: RNAcentral
CAGAAGAAGCACCGGCUAACUCCGUGCCAGCAGCCGCGGUAAUACGGAGGGUGCGAGCGUUAAUCGGAAUUACUGGGCGUAAAGCGCAUGCAGGUGGUUUGUUAAGUCAGAUGUGAAAGCCCGGGGCUCAACCUCGGAAUUGCAUUUGAAACUGGCAGACUAGAGUACUGUAGAGGGGGGUAGAAUUUCAGGUGUAGCGGUGAAAUGCGUAGAGAUCUGAAGGAAUACCGGUGGCGAAGGCGGCCCCCUGGACAGAUACUGACACUCAGAUGCGAAAGCGUGGGGAGCAAACAGGAUUAGAUACCCUGGUAGUCCACGCCGUAAACGAUGUCUACUUGGAGGUUGUGGCCUUGAGCC